Esox lucius (northern pike) is the source of this 306-nucleotide long non-coding RNA. NCBI's taxonomy places the organism in Eukaryota, Metazoa, Chordata, Actinopteri, Esociformes, Esocidae. The record is from Ensembl.
ACUGAAUCUACAAGACCACUCCAGUUGGGCCUCCCGAGUGGUGCAGUGGUCUAUGCACUUGCCUGGAACGUCUUAUUGCGUUGCUAUUGCAAGCGUUGCUGAAAGAACCAUGAAGGGGUGCACCUGGUCUGCAACAUUGUUUAGGUACUUGUCGAUCAUCGGAUUUGUCAUCAAUAUCGACACAUUGAUGCUGAUGAUUCCUGAACUGCUCAAAGUUCAGCGAUUACACUGAGUGGAGCGGCGGACCGGUUCAAGAUGGCGGUCCCAGAUGGCGGUCCCAGAUGGCGGUCCCAGAUGGCGGUCCCA